Long non-coding RNA from Rana temporaria (common frog), 621 nucleotides. RefSeq lists it as uncharacterized. The transcript is spliced from 2 exons. The record is from RefSeq and is a predicted model, not a curated record. Lineage: Eukaryota; Metazoa; Chordata; Amphibia; Anura; Ranidae.
AUGUGAUCAGAGCAUAACAGAUAGUAAUGCAGAAGACGCACUUUAGACUACUAUUGAAUACUUAUCAGUUUACUAGGUCACAUAACAAUAUGACACAUUUAAUGAAAUGCUGCAGGUAGAAGUACCAAUUGAUUAUAUUAUAUUUCUAAUGGUUACAUCACUAAGGUACAUGGAUGUUCCCAGACUACAGAUUAGAACUUGCCUGUUACUCAGCAGUAGUGGAAGUUGAAAAAGUUAAUAGUUAGUGAAGUGAUGUAAUAAUUUCCUAACUGAAAGUUUCCUGCAGAAACUAUUUCCAUUCUUUGCCAAGAAUCAGGCAUGUAAUAGCACGGUUCUAUCUCCACCCUAAUCCUCCUGUACCGGAAAGCAUGCCCGUUUAAAUUUGCCUGCCCAAAGACCUAAUAUAUGCCUCUGCUAACAGCAGUGACAUCCAUUCUGUUUACCCUCAGUUCAGCUAGGGACCUGUUUGUAGAUCCCUGCUGACUGGAAUAGAUGAUGUCCAUCUGAAACAGGCCUUACUUCUUUUAAAGGCUGCUGUCAACAAAUGAGAAGACACAACAAGGUAGAACUAGAGAAAGCCACAUUUUUUUGUGCAGUGAUGGUUGCUUCCCCUUUUACCAA